RNAcentral lists this transfer RNA (85 nucleotides) under Eggerthella sp. CAG:298. It matches the Rfam family "tRNA". Rfam says of the family: Transfer RNA (tRNA) molecules are approximately 80 nucleotides in length. Their secondary structure includes four short double-helical elements and three loops (D, anti-codon, and T loops). Lineage: Bacteria; Bacillati; Actinomycetota; Coriobacteriia; Eggerthellales; Eggerthellaceae. The record is from Rfam by way of RNAcentral.
GGAGGAAUGGCUGAGCGGUUGAAAGCGGCGGUCUUGAAAACCGUUGUACCGAGAGGUACCGUGGGUUCGAAUCCUACUUCCUCCG